GCGGGUAUGGCGGAACUGGCAGACGCGCUAGACUUAGAAUCUAGUUCUUAUGAGUGCAGGUUCGAUUCCUGUUACCCGCA
Molecule: transfer RNA, 80 nt
Filed under: Clostridium sp. CAG:307
Lineage: Bacteria; Bacillati; Bacillota; Clostridia; Eubacteriales; Clostridiaceae
Rfam family: tRNA
About the family: Transfer RNA (tRNA) molecules are approximately 80 nucleotides in length. Their secondary structure includes four short double-helical elements and three loops (D, anti-codon, and T loops).
Source: Rfam by way of RNAcentral